Molecule: small nucleolar RNA, 138 nt
Organism: Tachyglossus aculeatus (Australian echidna)
Lineage: Eukaryota; Metazoa; Chordata; Mammalia; Monotremata; Tachyglossidae
Source: RefSeq, a predicted model, not a curated record
CCCCUCUUAGGGUAAUACCUGGAGAGUUUCCAGUACUCUAUCAGCCUUGACUACGGGAGGGAGAGUCAAGCAGAAGACUACCCAUUCCAUUCCUAGCUUGAACAGUGGUUAGCGAAUGGAAAGCAAUCUGCUACAAGU